This 405-nucleotide ribosomal RNA is filed under the name uncultured bacterium. RNAcentral describes it as "bacterial SSU rRNA". It matches the Rfam family "Bacterial small subunit ribosomal RNA", at positions 30 to 434 of the family's 1533-position model. The record is from RNAcentral.
AUUGAACGCUGGCGGCAUGCCUUACACAUGCAAGUCGAACGGCAGCACGGGAGCAAUCCUGGUGGCGAGUGGCGAACGGGUGAGUAAUAUAUCGGAACGUGCCCAGUCGUGGGGAUAACGUAGCGAAAGCUACGCUAAUACCGCAUACGAUCUAUGGAUGAAAGCGGGGGAUCGCAAGACCUCGCGCGAUUGGUGCGGCCGAUAUCAGAUUAGGUAGUUGGUGAGGUAAAGGCUCACCAAGCCGACGAUCUGUAGCUGGUCUGAGAGGACGACCAGCCACACUGGGACUGAGACACGGCCCAGACUCCUACGGGAGGCAGCAGUGGGGAAUUUUUGGACAAUGGGCGCAAGCCUGAUCCAGCAAUGCCGCGUGCAGGAUGAAGGCCUUCGGGUUGGUUAAACGUU